Non-coding RNA from Equus caballus (horse), 2164 nucleotides. Lineage: Eukaryota; Metazoa; Chordata; Mammalia; Perissodactyla; Equidae. The record is from RefSeq and is a predicted model, not a curated record.
GCAGCUGUGGUGGAGUGGACUUGACCUGGAGGUAGAAGACUGGGCUUCAGCCCUAGCUUUACCAGGCAACCGGCUAUAUGGCUUUGAACCUUCUGCAUCACUUCCCACUCGAAGAUUUGCUCACUCCUGGAACAGAAUUUUCUUUGGACGGCUGUCCUGGCAAUGGUGACUUAUUCCCCUACUCCACCCACCACUGGUCUUUGUCGCAAGCCUGAGAAAAUGUAGCUGUGCACCUGGGAGUCUGCAGCCAGGACCAGAUAGGACUGUACAGGUAUAUUGCUGGUCCUACCAACUGAAAGAAAACUGCUUCUGAUGGUCUUCACCAUGGAGAAAAAAAAAAUUGACGGAUCAAUAGCUGCAUACUGGAGGAUGUGUUAAUUUGCUUCAGUAAAGAAACAAUAGCUGAAAUAGCAGCUGGAUUUGGAGUCACUACGUGAUUAAGUUUAUGAAAAUCCACUAUAAUUUUCCAAGAUACAUCUGUCUUCUGUAGAGGCCAAAUAGGCACAGGCAGACCAAUGUGGGAGACAGAUAAGGACACGUUGCAGAGUGGUGUGAGAACUGCCAUAAGGAAGCACCCAAGGCUGUGUGAUGUGGGCACAGAGGCAAGUGUUCUACAUGUAGAAGCCACGUAAGUGAUUGGAUGAAUUCACCAGAUUAGCUUGAUUCUUGUCGUCUUGCUGUGGGUUUUCAAAUUGAUAAUUAAUAAAGAAAACAAAGUGGGCCAUGCACAAAUGUCUGGGAAGUUGCUCAUAGAAAUUUCUUUGACUAGCUAUUUAGAAUCAAAAUAAAGUCAGUUUAAACAUCCUCUGAAGAAAUGCCUCUGUCCUCAGUAGGACUUUUCUGAAGACUACAGCGACAAAUGGCAAACAGGCAUCCUGGAAGAAAUUGACCAGUACAUGUGAGCCUCUCUUUACUUGGUUAGCUUAGUCAUUGCUUCUCAUGUUUUGAGGUCUCAAAGAGCCAUGUGAGUCAAUGAACCGCAUGUAACCAAGGACAGAAGGUUCUGGUUGAAGGCUUUUUUUUUUUUGUCUUUCACAAUAUGAAAACAAAAGACUGAAGGACAGGGCCUUAAAGAUCAGAGAGAGAGAAUAUUCCCUCAUUUCAUCUAGAUAGUAAAAUGUCCUUCCUUCUUCAACCUCUAUCUACCUUCAGAGAUGAUUUCUUAACAUGAAAUGUAAUAUGUCUGCCAGAGGACUGUUCCGAUUAUUUAUUGCUGUGUAAUUAACCACACCAAAACCUUGUCACUUAAAACACUACUAUUCAUUUUGCUUACAAAUCCCCAAUUUGGGCUACGCUUCAUAAGGAUGACUGUUCUCUUUUCCAGAUGACGUCAGCUGAGGCAGCUUGACUGUGGCGGGUGGUUCCACUUCCAAGAUGGUUCAUUCCAUGGCUAACAAGCUGCUGCUGACUGUUGGCUGGUAGCUCAGCUGGGAAACAAAGUUGGGGGCCUUGUUUUCUUUCCACUUUGGCCUCUCCCUUGGGAUGCUUGGGUUUUCUCAAAACAUGGUAUCUGGGUUCCAAGCUAGUGUUCCAAGAGACAGGAAACAGAACUGCCAGUCUAUUGAGAUCUGGGCCCAGAAACUGUCACAGCAUUACUUCCAUAAUCCAUUGGUCAAAGAAGAUACAGAGCCACUCACAUGCAAGGGGAGGGGGCAUUGACCCCACCUCUCUAUUGGAGGAGUGUCAAUAUCUUGACGGGCAUCUUUAAUCUACCACAAAUGCCCAAGCCCAGUCCUAUUUCUGUUAUUGUUAAGCCCCAUGAGAGUCUUGGGGUCAAACACAGUGGAAGGGGAGAGCAUACUAUGGAAUAGAUGGUUGAGAAGGAUAAACCCGGAUACAGGAGGCUUUUGCUGUUGCAGAGAUGUAGGGACAGAGGUAAGAGUUAGGCGAAAUUCUUCUCAGGUUAAUUUCAGUGAACUCAUCAUUCUUGAAGUUGCUGCUUUUGUCCUGUCUUUCUUCCUGGGUUUUUAUCUUUGGCUAACUCCAGAUUCUGAUUUUCUUCCCUUCUAUUUGUUGUGCUGUGCUCAUUUCUCAGCCUCUGAUGAUUGUUUUUUUCCUCUACUUAUUUAGUUCAUACAACCAAUUCUGUCCUUUCCCCUUUUCUUUUAUCUUAUAUUCCCUCAUAUUUACUUCCCUGUAAUUUAAAUAAAUUACGAUGUGGUAA